AGUGAACGCUGGCGGCGUGCUUAACACAUGCAAGUCGAACGAGAACGGAUUAUAGCUUGCUAUAAUUGUCAGCUAAGUGGCGCACGGGUGAGUAAUAUAUAGGUAACGUGCCCUAGAGAGGGGGAUAACAGUUGGAAACGAUUGCUAACACCCCAUAUGCCUUUAUCCCAUAAGGGAGCAAGGGAAAUAUUUAUAGCUCUAGGAUCGGCCUGUACAGUAUCAGUUAGUUGGUGAGGUAAUGGCUCACCAAGACAAUGACGCUUAACUGGUUUGAGAGGAUGAUCAGUCACACUGGAACUGAGACACGGUCCAGACUCCUACGGGAGGCAGCAGUGGGGAAUAUUGCACAAUGGACGAAAGUCUGAUGCAGCAACGCCGCGUGGAGGAUGACACAUUUCGGUGCGUAAACUCCUUUUAUAUAGGAAGAUAAUGACGGUACUAUAUGAAUAAG
This 451-nucleotide ribosomal RNA is filed under the name uncultured bacterium. RNAcentral's name for it is "bacterial SSU rRNA". It matches the Rfam family "Bacterial small subunit ribosomal RNA", at positions 29 to 490 of the family's 1533-position model. The record is from RNAcentral.